Molecule: ribosomal RNA, 507 nt
Filed under: uncultured bacterium
Lineage: Bacteria
Description: bacterial SSU rRNA
Rfam family: Bacterial small subunit ribosomal RNA
Source: RNAcentral
UAGUCCACGCCGUAAACGAUGGAUACUAGCUGUUUGGACUUCGGUCUGAGUGGCUAAGCGAAAGUGAUAAGUAUCCCACCUGGGGAGUACGUUCGCAAGAAUGAAACUCAAAGGAAUUGACGGGGGCCCGCACAAGCGGUGGAGCAUGUGGUUUAAUUCGAUGAUACGCGAGGAACCUUACCAGGGCUUAAAUGUAGAUUGACAGGUUUAGAGAUAGACUUUUCUUCGGACAAUUUACAAGGUGCUGCAUGGUUGUCGUCAGCUCGUGCCGUGAGGUGUCAGGUUAAGUCCUAUAACGAGCGCAACCCCUGUUGUUAGUUGCCAGCACAUUAAGGUGGGGACUCUAACAAGACUGCCGGUGCAAACCGCGAGGAAGGUGGGGAUGACGUCAAAUCAUCACGGCCCUUACGUCCUGGGCCACACACGUGCUACAAUGGUAGGGACAGCAAGCAGCCACGUCGCAAGGCGGAGCUAAUCUACAAACCCUAUCUCAGUUCGGAUCGGAGU